UAGAUACCGCACCUCCCUUUCUGUCUGUGC
RNAcentral lists this non-coding RNA (30 nucleotides) under Mus musculus (house mouse). Lineage: Eukaryota; Metazoa; Chordata; Mammalia; Rodentia; Muridae. The record is from RNAcentral.